CCUACGGGAGGCAGCAGUGGGGAAUCUUGCGCAAUGGGCGGAAGCCUGACGCAGCAACGCCGCGUGCGGGAAGAAGGCCUUAGGGUCGUAAACCGCUUUCAGGGGGGACGAAGCUUCCGGGGUUAAUAGCCUACGGGGUGACGGUACUCCCAAAAGAAGGUCCGGCUAACUACGUGCCAGCAGCCGCGGUAAUACGUAGGGACCGAGCGUUGUCCGGAAUCAUUGGGCGUAAAGAGCGUGUAGGCGGCUUGGUAGGUCUCGUGUGAAAUCCCGCGGCUCAACCGCGGAUCCGCACGGGAAACCCCUAAGCUCGAGUCCGGAAGAGGAGAGUGGAAUUCCUGGUGUAGCGGUGAAAUGCGCAGAUAUCAGGAAGAACACCCGUAGCGAAGGCGGCUCUCUGGGACGGUACUGACGCUGAGACGCGAAAGCGUGGGGAGCAAACAGGAUUAGAUGCCCUGGUAGUCCACGCCGUAAACGGUGGGCGCUAGGUGUGGGAGGUGUCGACUCCUCCCGUGCCGAAGCUAACGCAUUAAGCGCCCCGCCUGGGGAGUACGGCCGCAAGGCUAAAACUCAAAUGAAUUGACGG
This 586-nucleotide ribosomal RNA is filed under the name uncultured bacterium. Its description in RNAcentral is "bacterial SSU rRNA". It matches the Rfam family "Bacterial small subunit ribosomal RNA", at positions 338 to 916 of the family's 1533-position model. The record is from RNAcentral.